This is a long non-coding RNA of Dermacentor andersoni, 351 nucleotides long. RefSeq lists it as uncharacterized. NCBI's taxonomy places the organism in Eukaryota, Metazoa, Arthropoda, Arachnida, Ixodida, Ixodidae. The record is from RefSeq and is a predicted model, not a curated record.
UGACACCACGGUUCAGUUUCUCUUUUUCGUUGAACCACGCCUCGAGUACAGCAAGCAACGGUCGGCAGCCAAUCGAUACCGCCUCUGACGGAGCCGCAACACACAGGGAAUGGUCACGGAGAAGAGGAAGGUGGCCGCCACUUUGCUCAGCCGGAGGCCGAAGUGAUCGUGCCGACGGCAGAAACUGCGCGGCUCUUUCAAGAACUACCCAUGCAGCGAAGCCACACAACAAAAUAUGAACGCGUCAGUUGGGGCUUAUAGGCACUUCGUAGCUCUCAUAAAUUGACAAGCAUGAAUACAGAACUAAUAUAUUUGAAGCUCAAAAGCUGGGCAAAAAAAAAAAAAAAAUAG